CAUUUUAGUCCAAAAAAUUUUAUUAUUUUAAGUUGGUAGAAUUCAUUCCAAAUUCCAUCAAAUUUGAUGGAAAUUGGUUUUAGUUAUAAUCAUUUUGAUGAAAUUCAAUUCCUAGAAUUUAAUUCUAAAAUUUUUUACAAACCAAACACAAGAUAUAUAGAUAUCAAUUGAAUAUCACAAAAUUUUGUGGAAUUCACUUGAACCAAACCAACCCCUUACUGAAUUUGAAAUUUUAAUAAAUGUUGGUGGAAUUAAUGCGUUUGGUUGAAAAUUGUGAGGCUUGGGCAGUGAUUGAGCAAGAAACAUUUACAUUGUAGCUACUGUUGUUGGUUUCAUGGAUGGAAAAUAUAAUAGUUAUGCAACUUUAUUGCAUUUUUGCCAAUUUUUAGUUGAUGGAGGAAGACACAAAUUGGUGCUAAUGAAAUGGUAGUAUUGUAUGAUGUGUUAGUGAGUGAUGAUGAUGAUGAUAUAGUGAUUGUACUGGACUUGAGGAAGGUAGAGGGCUCCAGGUUGGGAGUAUGCAUUGCUUCUGACCACAAUACAAGAAUGGAUUGUUAUUUACUGAUUUGUUUUUAGGCCAAAUGACCAAUAAACUCUUUGAUGGUGUGAACUUUUUCUCCAGGGGUACUACUUUGG
RNAcentral lists this unclassified non-coding RNA (636 nucleotides) under Hevea brasiliensis (rubber tree). Lineage: Eukaryota; Viridiplantae; Streptophyta; Magnoliopsida; Malpighiales; Euphorbiaceae. The record is from RNAcentral.